This 62-nucleotide transfer RNA is filed under the name Ictidomys tridecemlineatus (thirteen-lined ground squirrel). RNAcentral describes it as "Spermophilus tridecemlineatus (thirteen-lined ground squirrel) tRNA". It matches the Rfam family "tRNA". From Rfam's summary of the family: Transfer RNA (tRNA) molecules are approximately 80 nucleotides in length. Their secondary structure includes four short double-helical elements and three loops (D, anti-codon, and T loops). Lineage: Eukaryota; Metazoa; Chordata; Mammalia; Rodentia; Sciuridae. The record is from Rfam by way of RNAcentral.
AGGAUUGUGGCUCAGUGGUAGAGCGCUUGCCUAGCAUGCAUGAGGUACCGGGUUUGAUCCUU